This is a non-coding RNA of Manacus vitellinus (golden-collared manakin), 68 nucleotides long. NCBI's taxonomy places the organism in Eukaryota, Metazoa, Chordata, Aves, Passeriformes, Pipridae. The record is from Rfam.
AUCACCAUCUUACUGGGCAGCAUUGGAUGUUUUCUGCUUUUCUAAUACUGCCUGGUAAUGAUGAUGAU